This 150-nucleotide small RNA is filed under the name Arabidopsis thaliana (thale cress). Its description in RNAcentral is "ATSL303320". The record is from RNAcentral. Lineage: Eukaryota; Viridiplantae; Streptophyta; Magnoliopsida; Brassicales; Brassicaceae.
GCUUUAGCAACGCCAGUUUUGUUCCAGCCAUGCUUCCACUCACAUCAAGAACUGUGACUAGAUCGACAGGAGCCCGAGAAGACGAAGAUGGAUUUGAAGAGGACUUUGAAGAAGUAGGAGCUUUUAGAUUGAUCAGUACAGCAAAAUCCU